This is a long non-coding RNA of Pan troglodytes (chimpanzee), 2567 nucleotides long. RefSeq lists it as uncharacterized. The record is from RefSeq and is a predicted model, not a curated record. Lineage: Eukaryota; Metazoa; Chordata; Mammalia; Primates; Hominidae. The transcript has 3 exons.
AUUCAGUGUGAUGUUGGUUGUGGGUUUGUCAUAGAUGGCUCUUAUUAUUUGAGGAAUUGCAUAAAUUCGCUAGAAUCAGAAGUCAGUUGUCCUGAUCUCAGAACAAUUUGGUGUGUACAAAGUCCAAGGUUUGAAAACUCAUCAAGAAGUCAGCAUCCUGCAAGAAUCAGCCACCCAUGCCACACUUUCUAUAGUAACUUCUGUUCUGCAUCAGACUACAUCACUCUGGCUUUCUGAGGGCACUAUUCCAGGCGAGUGCUCUGGGAGGAAUUACCCAGCAUCCCUGUAGAAGCCACUACUGAUGUCAGCUACAAGAGGAAAGGAACCCAAGUGGACUUCAGCCAGAACAAAGCUCUGUCACAUGUUGGAAUUUUACUGAACUUGAACAAAUUAUUCUUCAGAAAAAGUAUUUUAAAGUCAAAAGACUCCUAGAUGAUUUCUAGGUCUUUUGCAGCAUUAACUUCCUUUGAAUCAAUGCCUUCAAUGAUUAUUUAAAAGAAAAGAAAGAAAAAAUCAGAAAGUAAAGAAAUGGAUUAGCUAGUAACCUUUAAAGAAAGCCCUCUUUCAUUCAUUUUUCUUCAAAGAUUUAUGUGAUUUUUUUCUUAUCUUGAUGUAUAAUAAUAAGAAUUAGCUGCAAAAAGCUACAAGAAAGGUUGCAUAAGUGCAUACAUUCUUUUAGAGUUCUGCUUCCUGUGGUAGUUCUUCACUUUUAGUGAUGAGUUGCUGAAGCAGGCACUCAUUCUUUUAUUGCAUCAUUUAUUCUUGUUAUCUGGGGAAGUAACAAUGACAAGCUUUCCUAAGUAACAGCCCAACUCUUAUUUGUGACUCCUUUUCCUAUGUCAAUAUUAGGAUCAUUCUAUCAAUGAAGAGGUCCUAUUACCUAGGAAACCAUGAAAGGUAAGACCUAUGAUCACAGGUGCUUACAUGCAUGCAAAUGUAAAAGGAAUACUUAAACCCUCACCUAACUUCUUUGGAAGUUUCAGUACACAGUUAUUGUUGAUAGGCAAUUAAGGUGCGUGUGUGAGUGUAGUAUGUGUUUUUGUAAGAAAAAAAGUAGAGGAAAUGGGAGAUAAUUUAGUGUGCUGGAAAGUUAUAGAAUUUGAUAUCUUGUUUUGCAUAGAUGAUGCAUUGUAGGAGUGACAUUAUUGUGAAACUUUGUUCAGUCGGUUUUCCUUCAAGCGAUUUUGGUGCAGUUUUUCCAAUCCAGUGUUAAGGGCAUGACAAUGUAUUUUUCACAAGCUUGUCUAAGAGGAAACUCUGACAGAUUAUGAUGAGGAAAACUAAAUCCACUCAUGUCAUGUAAACACAUAGAAGACUUCUCAGUGGGGUCUCUGCCUUGUACCUCAGAUGCCAAGGGGGAGUUUGAGAUUUGUCAAGUUGUUGACAACUACUUUAGUCCAUUUUGUGCUGCCAUAACAGAAUGACACGGAUGUGGUAAUUUAUAAUGAACAGAAAUUUACUUCUUGAGGCUGGGAAAUCCAAGGUUGAGGUGCCAGCAUCUGGCAAGGGCUUUCUUAUUGUGUCAUCAUAUGGUGGAAGGCAGAAUGUCAAGAGAGAAGGAGGAAACCAAAUUUACCCUUUGAUAAAGGCACCCAUUCCACACGUAAGGGUGAAGCCCUCAUGGCCUGCCACCUUUUAAAGACUCCACCUCUUGAUACUGUCACAAUAGCAACUGCAUUUCAGCAUGAGUUCUGGAAGGGACAGUUUCCAAACCAGAGGAGCAAUUGCCUAUCAAAGGUUGCAAGAAAGAGGUAUUUUACUAUUAUUUGAGCUACCAUUUUUAGCUUUAUCCAUACUUUUAGAAAUAGGUGUUUGAUUGAACUCAAAUUAUCCAGUUUGAGAAUGUCAUAAUUUUCUAUUAGGGGUCUGGCUGAUCUAGUCAUUAAAAAAGACACAUAAUAAAUGUAUAAGCAUGUUUUUAAAUGGACAGUUUAUAAGUUAGUUAAUAAUAUUAGUGUGAAUUACUGUUACCACUAAAUAAAUAAACCACUACAUUUUAUAUUCUUUCAACAAUCUGAAAAAAAUAUUUUGUAAAAAAUUACUGUAAUGCAAAAUUUGGCUUAGUUAGCAACAGAGAGGGUAAAUAUCUGCUUUAAAGAUCACAAUGCCUGAUGGCUAUGAAACAGAUGAGAAGUUUUGAGAAAAUGACAUCAAUAUGGUGUUGAUUGGUUUCACGUGGCUUUGAGCUUUUCUGCCACUGGGAAGAUCACUACUGUACAUAGUUUACAUAUGAUUCAUGUGUGAUGCCAGAUUGCAGCUUCCUUCUUGCUGUAUCUUAAGUGUACUUGGUAUUCUGAUUCAAGAGUGAGAUCUUGAAGCUUUGGCAAAUAGAAUUGCCUAAUUUUCAUUUGUCCACUAAGCAAUGCAUGCAGUUAAAAAAAUGAAAACAAUACCAAACCUCCUUCUUUUGCAGUGAAGGAGCCCAAAACUCUCUUUCCGUCUCUCUUUCCGUCUCUCUUUCCGUCUCUCUCUUUAACUUAGAAUAUUGGUUAUUUUGUAUUCUCACACAUGUAAAAUUCCUUUCCUUUAAUUCAUAUGUUCUCAAUAAAAAAGAAUUUUCCACUGAA